UUGAUGUGAUUAUUCUUUUUUUUAUCAUUUACUAAUUUGAACUAUGAGUUAUUAUGAUUCGGCUACCUAAUCUCUCAAAAUUUUUAUUCAUUUUUAGGGUUUGACUUUAAAAUUUAAUCAAUUAUAGUUACGAGAAUUGCAUAAGUAUAUUAAUUGAACUUGCAAAGCUAAACGAUGAAUUCAAACUUUAAAACUAAUGUCAUCGACUGAUUUAAAUCAAAUAAAUUUAAAAAUAAAUAUAUAAAUUUAGAAUUUUAAAAUAUUAGAUAGUCAAUUCAAAAUGAUUCAAACAAAUUUAAUAAUUUUAAUAACUUCGUAGUAUAUAAAAUUAAAUAAGUUUCUGUUCAAAAAAGAAAAUUAAUAAAAACUUUAAGGAUUUACUUAAAUGACCUAUAGUUGAUAGUUUUAGCAUAAAUAUCAAAAAAUAAGUGAAAAAAGUUUGAUUUUGAAACAAAAAGUGAACAAAUUAAGGGUAAAAUGGUAAUUUCAUAUUUUGAAAUAAAAUAAAAAAUGUUAUGUUGACGGAAGUUAGCAAAAAAUAACGGUGAGAAUAUUUAUGAAAGAAAUAUUAUAUUUAGAGAAGUAUUUGUGAAAUUUAAAAAAUUAAAAUAAUAUUUAUGAUAUUUCAUAACUUUGUGAGGGUACAAAUGGAAUUAACCCUUAGAUAAAUUAU
Molecule: long non-coding RNA, 673 nt
Filed under: Ananas comosus (pineapple)
Lineage: Eukaryota; Viridiplantae; Streptophyta; Magnoliopsida; Poales; Bromeliaceae
Description: long non-coding RNA (ACOM_LNC031946)
Source: RNAcentral